RNAcentral lists this ribosomal RNA (429 nucleotides) under Gemmatimonadota bacterium. Its description in RNAcentral is "Gemmatimonadetes bacterium partial 16S ribosomal RNA". It matches the Rfam family "Bacterial small subunit ribosomal RNA", at positions 355 to 776 of the family's 1533-position model. The record is from RNAcentral. Lineage: Bacteria; Pseudomonadati; Gemmatimonadota.
UAGGGAAUCUUCGGCAAUGGACGAAAGUCUGACCGAGCAACGCCGCGUGAGUGAAGAAGGUUUUCGGAUCGUAAAACUCUGUUGUUAGAGAAGAACAAGGACGUUAGUAACUGAACGUCCCCUGACGGUAUCUAACCAGAAAGCCACGGCUAACUACGUGCCAGCAGCCGCGGUAAUACGUAGGUGGCAAGCGUUGUCCGGAUUUAUUGGGCGUAAAGCGAGCGCAGGCGGUUUCUUAAGUCUGAUGUGAAAGCCCCCGGCUCAACCGGGGAGGGUCACUGGAAAAGUUCCGACUGGAGUGCAGAAGAGGAGAGUGGAAUUCCAUGUGUAGCGGUGAAAUGCGUAGAUAUAUGGAGGAACACCAGUGGCGAAGGCGGCUCUCUGGUCUGUAACUGACGCUGAGGCUCGAAAGCGUGGGGAGCAAACAGG